Molecule: ribosomal RNA, 281 nt
Filed under: uncultured Staphylococcus sp.
Lineage: Bacteria; Bacillati; Bacillota; Bacilli; Caryophanales; Staphylococcaceae
Description: partial 16S ribosomal RNA
Rfam family: Bacterial small subunit ribosomal RNA
Source: RNAcentral
AACAGAUAAGGAGCUUGCUCCUUUGAAGUUAGCGGCGGACGGGUGAGUAACACGUGGGUAACCUACCUAUAAGACUGGAAUAACUUCGGAAAACCGGAGCUAAUGCCGGAUAACAUAUAGAACCGCAUGGUUCUAUAGUGAAAGAUGGUUUUGCUAUCACUUAUAGAUGGACCCGCGCCGUAUUAGCUAGUUGGUAAGGUAAUGGCUUACCAAGGCGACGAUACGUAGCCGACCUGAGAGGGUGAUCGGCCACACUGGAACUGAGACACGGUCCAGACUCC